UGUCUCAACUCCUCUCUAAUGCAAGCUGACUGUCAGAAACAGCCUUUCAGAAAUGCAGUACCUCAAAUCCUAAACCAUCUGUCAUGGUCAAAUUAAUGUAACCUUCUCCCUGCUGCCGGUGAGAGCUGGGAAGUAUAACAGCAGUGAGUGCUUGGUCCAGUAGGAUCAGCCUGGACACAUGGCUUUCUCACAUGCUUGGGCCUGUUCCACUGGGUGCUUUGUAGCUGGUUCAAUUCAUGCCUCAGGAUGGAAAUGGUCCAAGUUAGUGCUCAGAUAUCCAAAUUCUCCUGUUGUUUUUCAGCAGGAGGCUCAGUGAUGGCAGCCUUGGGGCUAAAUGGACUUAGCACAGGCAUGGCUGGUUGUCAUGUACUCUACAACGAUCCAGUGCAGGACACAUUUCUGCUGCUGGGUUUGGUGACUGGUUGUGCUCACUUUUCUCUAGUUAGGAGCAGAAGAGAUAAAAAUCAAAAGCUGGUGAAGCUUUAGCACCUGCCUCAAGCACAGUUCAGCUGAUGAUAACCACCAGUCACUGCUCUCAGCAAGAGACCUGAUUCCACCCAUCAUGCUUGGACUGAGACAGGGAACUCUGAAUGGGAGAGCCUUGCAAUGGGACAACAGCCAAGAGAGCACCUGAACAGCGGAGCACUUUGGUAGCAGCGAGAAAAGUCAAUACAGGUUCUGAUAGCACAGCAGCACUCAGCAGGCUCAUUGCUUUCUCUGACCUACAGAGCUGACAUCCAAACUGAAAGGACUACAUUUAAGUGUCAAAGAGAUUCCCAGCCAUCUGCUGCCUCACCAGCUGCUCUCGAUGCAGGAUGAAACUUAUCUCAAUUCAGGAACCCGGGCCUCAGGCAGAGGGGUGGAAGGAGCAUCGCAUCACAAGUGCUGUCUGCAGGAUGAGCGCCCAGACUGGUGCAGAUGUUGGAAAUUGGAUGAAUCUCUUGUGGUAUCUCCCUCUUUGCAGAGCGUUUCCCCAGCAGUGCAGUGGAGAAAGACUUGGAUCAUCCCAGUUUGUCCCACACACUGGCUCAUCAGAUGUUUCUAGAGAAGCUUCUGCGAUGUCCUUCCUUCAACAAACCAUGCACUGGGGCAGCCAGACUGCAAUGGGCAGCAGCCCGUGCUGAUGGAAAGAAGAUGCUGUCUGGAUCCAUGGAGA
This is a long non-coding RNA of Tympanuchus pallidicinctus (lesser prairie-chicken), 1156 nucleotides long. RefSeq lists it as uncharacterized. NCBI's taxonomy places the organism in Eukaryota, Metazoa, Chordata, Aves, Galliformes, Phasianidae. The transcript is spliced from 6 exons. The record is from RefSeq and is a predicted model, not a curated record.